Molecule: long non-coding RNA, 443 nt
Organism: Arabidopsis thaliana (thale cress)
Lineage: Eukaryota; Viridiplantae; Streptophyta; Magnoliopsida; Brassicales; Brassicaceae
Product: other RNA
Exons: 1
Source: RefSeq
UCUCUUUACUCUGUGAAAAUUAACUACAAUGAACAAAAGCCAUGUUAAUAAUUAGCCUAAUACUAACAACGGCCGUUAAAUCCAAAGCCAAGGUUCAUGUGAUGCGUGUGACAGGACAUCACAGACCAAACAUGACUCAACCACCUACUGCUUCAUUCAACUGCUUACACAAAACCUCAGAAAUUCAAAAUCUAGUAAAUUUUCAAUUCCCAAACAUAUCGAUCAACAAGAUUUGCAAAGUUGUUCAAGAUCUACUCAAAUUUUGGAACACUAGACAAAGGAAUUUCCUAUAAACUCACUACAAACCCAGAAAGAUUCAUAAUCUACCUACUUUUCUAGUCGUCAGAUGUAAAAUAAAAAUCAAGAGUAUGAAAUCAAAUGAAAGACCCAAACUUUAAAAAGAAGAACGAGGGUAGUACCGAAACAGAGAACGAGGAAUAAAG